UGAGCAAUCUGCCCUUCUCUUCGGAAUAAGCGUUGGAAACGACGUCUAAUGCCGAAUACGACCUCCUUUCGCAUGAUCGGAGGUGGAAAGCUCCGGCGGAGAAGGAUGAGCUCGCGGCCUAUCAGCUAGUUGGUGUGGGUAAUGGCCCACAAGGCGACGACGGGUAGCCGGCCUGAGAGGGUGACCGGCCACACUGGGACUGAGACACGGCCCAGACUCCUACGGGAGGNGGCAGG
RNAcentral lists this ribosomal RNA (236 nucleotides) under uncultured bacterium. RNAcentral describes it as "partial 16S ribosomal RNA". It matches the Rfam family "Bacterial small subunit ribosomal RNA", at positions 118 to 354 of the family's 1533-position model. The record is from RNAcentral.